GUGGGGAAUCUUGCGCAAUGGGCGAAAGCCUGACGCAGCCAUGCCGCGUGAAUGAUGAAGGUCUUAGGAUUGUAAAAUUCUUUCACCGGGGACGAUAAUGACGGUACCCGGAGAAGAAGCCCCGGCUAACUUCGUGCCAGCAGCCGCGGUAAUACGAAGGGGGCUAGCGUUGCUCGGAAUUACUGGGCGUAAAGGGCGCGUAGGCGGACAGUUUAGUCAGAGGUGAAAGCCCAGGGCUCAACCUUGGAAUUGCCUUUGAUACUGGCUGUCUUGAGUACGGGAGAGGUGAGUGGAACUCCGAGUGUAGAGGUGAAAUUCGUAGAUAUUCGGAAGAACACCAGGGGCGAAGGCGACUCACUGGCCCGUUACUGACGCUGAGGUGCGAAAGCGUGGGGAGCAAACAGGAUUAGAUACCCCGGUAGUCC
Molecule: ribosomal RNA, 425 nt
Filed under: uncultured bacterium
Lineage: Bacteria
Description: partial 16S ribosomal RNA
Rfam family: Bacterial small subunit ribosomal RNA
Source: RNAcentral